This 460-nucleotide ribosomal RNA is filed under the name uncultured bacterium. Its description in RNAcentral is "partial 16S ribosomal RNA". It matches the Rfam family "Bacterial small subunit ribosomal RNA", at positions 338 to 795 of the family's 1533-position model. The record is from RNAcentral.
CCUACGGGUGGCUGCAGUGAGGAAUAUUGGUCAAUGGACGAGAGUCUGAACCAGCCAAGUAGCGUGAAGGAUGACUGCCCUAUGGGUUGUCAACUUCUUUUAUAUGGGAAUAAAACGUUCCACGUGUGGGCUUUUGUAUGUACCAUAUGAAUAAGUAUCGGCUAACUCCGUGCCAGCAGCCGCGGUAAUACGGAGGAUCCGAGCGUUAUCCGGAUUUAUUGGGUUUAAAGGGAGCGUAGGUGGAUUGUUAAGUCAGUUGUGAAAGUUUGCGGCUCAACCGUAAAAUUGCAGUUGAAACUGGCAGUCUGGAGUACAGUAGAGGUGGGCGGAAUGCGUGGUGUAGCGGUGAAAUGCUUAGAUAUCACGAAGAACUCCGAUUGCGAAGGCAGUACACUGGACUGCAACUGACACUGAGGCUCGAAAGUGUGGGUAUCAAACAGGAUUAGAUACCCCUGUAGUC